UGACGGUGCAGACGCAUCCGGGCAGGCUCUCUGCAAGAAAUGUAAAAAGCAAACUAACAGUGGCCCCAAAUGUAUUACAUGUGGAGCCAAUUAUCAUACAAGUUGUGCUAAGCUUAUAAAAAAAGCCAAGUUUAUAAACGAUAACGAAGUUAACUGUUGUGCUGUGAGUGAUACCGGCGAAAUUAGUGAUUGCGAAUCUCUUGCUCAAAGUGAAGAUACGUUUAGCUCCCUCAGGAACGAAAUCAAGUACCUCAAGACAAUUAUCGAUCACAAAGAUCGCUCAGAGAGGUAAUCGAAGGCCAACUUAAAAACGAUCGCGAUAAUGGAAGAGAAGUUCGCGAAAAAGUGAAUGCAGGUAAACAAGCCUGGCUUAUCAACAGCGAUGAACCUCCGAAAGUACCUUUCAACUUGCAACGUCCUGCGACGAUGAUGGAUAAGGGUUUGCCAAAUUCCAAAAACCUGACAAAAAAUAGGGACAGAACAUUUCCUCCCACAUUACAAGUAACAAUUCCUUCAACUUCCGGAGUCUCUACCGCUGAUACCAACACAAAAACGCCGCAGAGUGAUAAAGAGGACGGCUUCAUUCUGGUCCAAAACAAAAAAAAGAAGGCAUCCGCGUCUACCAAAGUGGCCCCACAGAGCUUACAAGCAACUAAACCGAUCUCGGGAGCUUCUAGAAAAAAACCAAUGAUUGGCUCAUCAGCCAGUACUGUUUUAAAAAGCGUUCCUAAAUCAGCUCAUCUUCACUUGUCUAGAUUAGAUACGGACACCAAGGUCGAGAAUAUCCUGGACUAUAUCAAGCCCCAUGUGUCCAAAGCAAACUGCGAAAGACUACAAUCGAAAAAUCCAACCCUAUACUCGUCAUUCAAGCUAUCUGUGCCACUAGGAGAACUUGAGCAAGUCAUGAAUUCUUCCAUCUGGCCCUGUGGAGUUACUAUAAAUCGUUUUUUCUUCAGGCGCCCCCAAAACAACAAUCCACCAAACCAGAGUGUAGUGGCGUAACUGUGUUAAAUUUAUAUCACCUUAAUAUUCAAAGCUUAAAAAACAAAAUUUUAGAUCUAGAAGCCUUUUUGCUGUCCGAUGGCCCUUUUGAAGUACUAUGUAUCAAUGAGCAUUGGAUGACGGCUAAUGAAAUCGAGGUUCUUAAAUUAGGAAAUUAUUGUACAGUUUCUAGCUUUUGCAGAACUUUGCGCUAUCAUGGUGGAGUAAGUAUUUUUGUUCAUAAUUCCAUGACUCAUUGCAAAUCUUUGAGUUUUGAUAGUAUUGAGUUUGAUUUUGAAGUUUCUGGAUGUUUAUUAAAUGACAACUUAAAUGUAGUUACAUUGUAUCGUUCACCUUCGGGGAAUUUUGAUGUUUUUCUGAAAAAAUUAAAUUUAAUGCUUUCGUCUUUAACCAAAACCAAUAAUAAAAUUAUUGUAACAGGCGAUUUCAAUGUGAAAUUUGGCACUUCGGAUAAGCUUGCUGUUGCUUUGGUUAAUACUUUUCUUUCAUAUGGUUUAUACUCAACUGUUUUUACUCCAACUCGAGGAAAUUCCUGCCUAGAUAACAUUUUCACUAACUUUCAAAUCAAUGAUUAUCAAGUAACAACUCAUGAUCCAGGAUUAUCUGAUCAUUGUGGUGUAUGUAUGAGUGUCUUUGUUCCUACUUCGUCUCUAGUGGCAAAUGAAAGUUCUAAUACCAAAUAUAGACCUAUAACUGCUUUAGGAUUAUUCCACCUAUAUAACUUUAUUGAAAAUAUCAACUGGGAUUUUAUCAACAAUACUAACAAUGAUGUUGAAGACUUAUUUACUCAAUUUAACAGUAUUCUAGUACAUUAUGUAUCUAUUUGUUUUCCUGAAAAAAUUUUAUCCACUCGAGCAUCAAAAAAUUGGUUUAAUGACAAUUUGCGAUCUUUACGUAACAUGCAAACUCUGCUUUUUCAACUUCAAAACAAACAGAUUAUUGAUAAAGAGGUUUACACUGAUUUCAGAAAAUUCUAUCGCAGUGAAAUUGCAAAAGCUAUAGUUAAAUUUCAUGAUAACAUGAUCAACAACGUCCCUAACAAACAAAAAGCAUUGUGGGAUAUUGUCAACACAAAGAGAAAAAAUUCUGUUAAAUUGCCUACGAAUCUGUCGCCUGACACUAUCAAUAACUAUUUCACUAACAUUGCUGCCAAUACAAUUAACGCGUUACCCAAAACAUCA
Long non-coding RNA from Tribolium castaneum (red flour beetle), 2183 nucleotides. RefSeq lists it as uncharacterized. The transcript has 2 exons. Lineage: Eukaryota; Metazoa; Arthropoda; Insecta; Coleoptera; Tenebrionidae. The record is from RefSeq and is a predicted model, not a curated record.